This 503-nucleotide long non-coding RNA is filed under the name Mustela putorius furo (domestic ferret). RNAcentral describes it as "lncRNA (ENSMPUG00000029732.1)". Lineage: Eukaryota; Metazoa; Chordata; Mammalia; Carnivora; Mustelidae. The record is from RNAcentral.
AGACCCGAGCUUGAUGAAAUCUUGUGGUCUUUCUCACAUACUGUUUUCUUUGUGACUUCCUCCCCCAGGACCUUGAAAGGAUGCUGAACAUUCCUCAUCAGAAACCUGAGGAGGACACUGAAAAGACAGCCACAAUUUUCCUUCUGCUUGCUGCCAAGUUUCUUGAGGGCUCAGCUGUUGGGAACUUGACUGCUAUCUUGGAGCAAGUGGAGUUCUCAGCAUCAAACUUGGGCAUUUGACCAACUUACUCAUCAACCUCAGGCAACAUUAGAACACGGCAACCUCCCCCACAUGCAGAAAGAUGCCUUUCUGUGGGUAUUCUUGAAGAAAAGGAAAGGAAGCAAGAGCUAGACCAUGCAUGACUUCUUCUCCUAAACUCACCAACCAGGUAAGUCAGUUCACUUCCCCGGGAAGGGGUGCUGGGGUGGAGGCAUGUGUAAGGGAACAGAAGAGGCCAGGUGUGUUCUGCCAGUGGAUGUCCUUUGACCUGGACAAGAUAAAAU